Molecule: long non-coding RNA, 4064 nt
Organism: Felis catus (domestic cat)
Lineage: Eukaryota; Metazoa; Chordata; Mammalia; Carnivora; Felidae
Exons: 4
Source: RefSeq, a predicted model, not a curated record
AAAGAAAGAAAAGAAAAAAAAAUAGGACGGAGAGCCAGAGAGCAAGGGAUAAAUUUCUCUUAAAGUAUUCAUUCAUUCAUUCAACAAGGGUUUAUUGAGGUCCUCCCUGGAGUCAAGCUCGGUGCUGGCGUUAGAGACAUAGUCAGAAACAAAAUUAACGUGGCCUGUGUUCUCAAGGGUUUCCAGGCUACUGAGGGAGGCCAAGAAGGCAACAAAUUACUCAAUUACAAAUCCGAGUAAGUGCUUCAAGGAUAAAACGUAGAUAAUACAAAGGAGACAGAGGGUGAGGGGCAAGCUUCCUAUAUUUCUGUGGUCAAGGAAGGAGGUCACAUUCAAAACAAGACCUGAGGGCUGUGGAAUCAGUCCUGGAAAAACUUUCUAGGCAGGGAGACUUCUUCGAAGAGACCCGUGUGUUUAAGAAAUUAAGAUAAGUCCUGUGGUGGACUAUGGAGGUGGGGGGUGGGGCAGGGACUGGUUGGGGGAAAUAGAGAAACAGGAAGUAAGAUUGGAGAAGUGAGCAGGAGCAUAGGAAAGGUUUUGGAUUUUAUUCCAAGUGAGGUGAGAAGUACAGGGGGGACAACGCAUAGGGACAACUCCUCCUCCCCGUCUCAGAAACUCGGUGCCAUCACUUCCAGGGUGAAGGGAGGACCGUGUCCUUGAAAAGGAAGAAGGGACGAGUGUUUGGUUUCCUCUGAAACCUCGGAGCUUUUGAAAGAGUGGUGCCUGCUCUGAAUUCUACUGUGUCCGGUGUGGGAGUUAGCAUCCCAGGAUUAGCACUAUUAAUAUAUUCAAAUGGCCUUCAAAGGAGAACUUGAAGAAUGUUUUCAAAGGAAGUUCUGAUGGGAGUAAUUGUGAAACCUUCAGAUAUGACUCAUCUUCCAUUGAACCGGCCUCUGGAGGCUCAGCCAGAGUGACUCAAAGUAAACACGUAUUCACUGAGCUUCUACUCCAUGCCCAGCACCACGAAGGAUGCCGUGGUGGCUGCAAAAGUGUAUGAAGUGCUCCCUGUCCUCAAGGACUUUAAACAGUAGGAUAUUGGGGAUGGCAGAAAGAGCGCAUUCGAACAAUCAGCCACGAUGUGGAUACCCUCCCCGCUGGCCUUUGUCUGACAUAUCACGCUGCGUGCAAAGUGGCCAAGGGCUGAGGACACAGAAGAGUUUGUGAACCGUUAGCGAGGCUUGGCCAGGCAAACAGGUGAGCGAGAAUAUGGAGAUUCUCCUCCCCACGGGAUUGUUCCAGGAGCCCAGGAAUAGAGCGGCCGACGGGGAUGGCCUGUCCGUGCCCAUCCUAUGUUUGCAUCGUUGGCAUCACACUUGUGCAAACGCCGGGGACCCUGGCUGUCAUGGUCCUUUCCCAAGCUUUCAGUUUCUUUGUAGGGGUGGAGGCCUUUCCCCAACGUCAUACCAACCGCGGAAGAGGAAGAAGAGCAAGGCCGCACAAAGCCCGUGUAGAGAAAACUUGGGUGCUUCUGAGGUUGUAGGUCGGCGCGUUAGAGUUCGGAGUCUGGGCCUGUCACCUUGAGAGAGACAUUUGAUCUUAUUCUGUUCAAAUGAGCAAGUUGGACCCAGCGAACUCCAGCCAGUGAUGUCUCACUCCGACUAGGUGAUCUCACUUAUCCCGGAAGCAAGAGGCCCCAGCCCCUCCUGGUGGCAUGCCAUUUUGUCCAAUAAAAUAGAGCCCGUCAGAAAGAUCCCAGCCAUCCUGUGUGAGGCCCCUAAGGCUUUGGCCUUGCCUUUAGUUAAAAAAAAAAAAAGAAAACAAAAACAAAACAAGCCAAUGGUAUGUUCCAGAAUACCGCUGUCUCACACUUUCCCAGUAUCAGUGGGUAAUAGUGGAAUCUGGAGGCAGGACUGACGGACGGGAGAAGGCCCUGCCUUCCUCCCCUGUGAUUUAGGGCUUCAUUCCACAGGCAUGUGCUGGCGUUUGUUUCGUGCCGGGGCAUGGUCACAGACAACAGGCCUUAAAUUCUCAGGAGUUAGCAUAGCCGUGACACAAGACAGGUUGAUUGCCUCAAAUGCUCUCUUAAUCAGCACUCUCAAACUACUUCCUUCUUCCUGGGGGGUCAGGUCUCGGGUCAAAGUGUUGACUUGUUGUGUUUCCGACCAUUCCCAUAGUGGCAUGUUGACGACGCCACCCAGAAGAGGGUGCUUUUUGGCUUACGUUGGGGAUCUCCCAUAAUCGCGUAGCAGACCUGCGGCUACCUGAAGCCUCUCUCCCUUAGGCUUCCCGCUCCAAUGCGGUGUCGGUCAAAGGGCUCAGAUCUUACUUCCAGGUUCCCACAUCACCUACAAUGCCAACCCUUCUGGUGUUCACCAUAGAGAAAAUCAGACCAAAGAGAAAUAACGUGUUAACAACAGUUGAGAUCUUUCUGAUGGGCUCUAUUUUAUUGGACAGAAUGGCGUUCCACCAAGAGCAGCUGGGGUCCCAUGCUUCUAAGACAAGUGGGGCCGUCUGAUUCUUCCCCUUCCCCGUCAGGAAGGAGAAAACUCAGGAGCUGGUUGUCAACAAGGAAGUGAAGUCAUGGUCCAAGGUGCACAGGGUCCCGCAACUUAUCCGUAGAAGCUACAGAAGAUGAGCUCGCUCCAGUUUUAUUCAACUCCAAGGAGUCUUGGAUUCAUCAUCACUCCACCUUGUGCGGCUCAAGAGAUCGUCGUCUCCUCUUCCCAUGUGGUUUUGCCUGGGACAAAGAGAACAAAAGUUGACCCCGGAACAGCCUUAUCUUCAGCCACUCUCUGGGGGAGUUUCCUUAUUUACAUGCAAGCCAUGAUCUUUCAAAUGAUGUUUCACAUGGGACCCCGAUACAGAUGAGAUAAUUGAAGAAGCAGUGGGACUUUCUGAGGACAUGUAGGCCAAUCACUGAGUUCACUUCUUGAAAAAUUAGUCACCUUGUAAGAUUUAAAAAAUAUGUGUAUGUAUAUAUAUAUAUAUGUGUGUAUACACACACACAUACACACACACACACGCAUACAUAUAAACAAGUAGAAAUGAAUAAAAAUCAUUGGCUUUGACAAAUACGUUCAACUAUCUGUGAAAAUAGCUCUUGAUUCUCAGUCCUUUCCACCAUUUAUGUCCAUAUAAUGAUGUGAGCCCAGGUCGUUGAAAAACCAUGUCUCUAAGAAAGAAACAAGAAAUUAUCUAUAACAAGAGAAUUGUCUGAAACAAGAAUUGUCUGAUGGGAACCCGAUCUCCUGUCCUAGCUCUCUUCAAUUCAGUCCCACAGUCCUAAUUUGUCAGUCACAAUGAAACAAUCUGGUGUUCAUUAGCCAGAUUCAGAGGUAAGGAACUUGAGACUUCAAAAGAAAUCUCUCCUCCCAGUAGGCCAGUCUGUAGUCUCCUGGGGAUGUAUCCCCUUUUCUCUGCCAAUCUGGAUGUUUCCAUGUACAGCCUACCAUAUUUUCUAGGAGGCCCUGCCUCAGGCCACUCCAAAGCCAGGGGUUUGAACUCUAAAACCAGGUGUCUCUUCACUACACAACAUUAUUCCCUGGUCCAUGGGUUUUCAACUCUAACAGACUUUCUUCUUUUCUUCAGCCCGGCCAAAGUAAUUCCAUUUCGUAUUUGAGACCCAAAUCACCUCUCACGUUCUCUCAGAAGUGACCCUUGGCUGCUUCUGUCCACACAGACAUUUCUGUUCUUUGAACUUAGAGCUGAUACACAAUUAUAAUGACACUGAAGACACAUUAUCUUGGAUACCUUCUCUAUCUGUCUGUUGCAUUCUUUUCAAAGCUAUACAGUAUCUCUGGCUGAAACGAACAACGCAGGAAACAACACAUGUUGGCGAGGAUGCAGAGAAAGGGGAACCCUCUUACACUGUUGGUGGGAAUGCAACCUGGUGCGGCCACUCUGGAGAACGAUAUGGAGGUUCCUCAAAAAGUUAAAAAUAGAGCUACCCUAUGACCCAGCAAUUGCACUAGUAGGUAUUUACCCAAAGGAUACAAAAACACAGAUUUGAAAGGGCACCUGCACCCCGAAGUUUAUAGCAGCAUUAUCAACAAUAGCCAAACUAUGGAGAGAGCCCAAAUGUCCAUCAACUGAUAAAUGUACACACACACACACACACACACACA